UCAAACAGUUGUGUGUAUGGAACUGUGUAGUGACAGGCCAGUCAAGAUGGCCAUGAUAACUUCUCUUCUCGGUUGUAAGCAUCAGAGCCAGACAUCAGAAAAUGAAGACGGUUGACUGGUUCGACGAUCUGUCGACUGGUCCGUUUUUUCCCCCAAGAAAGAUCUGGAUGGCCAGGCACAUGUGCAUUGUUUACCUGCAGAAGAGAUGGCUCCAGUAGAAGAUCCACCUCACAACAUACAGAAUUUGAAGGACGUGUUGGUGAUGUCCUGGUACCAGAUACCACAGUACACCUUCAGAUGUCUUGUGGAGUCCAUGAGUGUGUUAGAAAACCUAGGAAGUAUCAAAAACGGUUAAACUGUCCCUGACAAGCCCAAACUUGCAAAAAAAAAAAAAAAACCCACUAGUAUAAGUUUAUACAAAUUAAAAAUCAAUAAUAAUUUAUUUACAUUUGAACAUAACUCAGUUCUGUUCUCCGCACCGUCUGCCAUGUUUUUUAUUUUUCUGUGAGAAAAGUUGAAACGUUGAAAUUUUAAGAUACCUUAGUAGACAACAUAUUAAGGCAUCUAGGAUUUCGAACAGCCUCCUUCUCGGGAGUGUGCAUAGGAUGACAUAAAAUGCUGUAUAUGUAGAGAGCGCACUAGGUUUUCGAACACACUCGUUAUUUGACAUGCGUUGUGCCACCUCAUCCCAUUGGUUUGAAUGGCAUGAUGCUAACUGUGUUAGCUUAGUAACUGAAACCCGAUGUUAUCGCUGUCUAAGUAGUGCGUUCGAAUAACCUGACUUAUGAGUCGAUGACUUAUUAGAAUCCUCUAAUCCUCCCUAGGUUUUCGAACACACCCUAUGUCUCAUAUUAGGCAGGUGGUCCUAAAGUUUUGGCUCAUUCACCUUCUGAUUGGUUAACAUACAGUGUUUAACAAUUGAACCCCACACCACAUGACUUCAGCUCAUUCUGUGUUGCUGAGCUAGAUCACUCAUUUUAUUUGAUAUGUAAUUGUAAAGACCUGUAAUGAGCAGAACUAUAACCAGCCUCUGUAAUAAAUAUUUAACGUUUAUCAUGCUCAAAAAUAGCUUGGUGGUGCGUAAAGACGAGGGAGAGGCGGAGAACAGUCUGUCAGAUUCUCUCACAUGGAAAUGGACAUUCAUAAAUAUUUCAGCACCUCAUCAGAUCUGAGGCAGAUGAGAUGUAGAGUUCCUGCAAACACAGUGGAAAGGGAACGCAAAGUGGAAAUGAAGACUCACUGUGGAUCAAAAAGCUUUAAUAUCUGAUGAUGUCAAAUUGAAACGACUCUCCAUCAUGACCGUAAUUGAGUGCGUUAUUGAGUGACAGGUUCUUGCUUUGAAUCAAGGUGACCUGGGUGCUACUCACAAGGGAAGCAAAAUGUUGGCAGAAAUUUGAGCAAAGAAAAAAAUGAAAUGUCAGGACUGAGGUGGGUUUUUUUUCUUUUAUUUUAAUCAGCGAGAUGACUGCAAAUUCUAUAUUUAACUCAUUUAUCUCUGCUAUAAUCUUCAACAUAGUCUAGCCUUUUACACACUCAUCAGUAAAUAUUUUUAUUUUCAGAUUUACUCUAUUUUUAUAUUUUUACUGUUUCAGCUGAAACUGUUUCAAUUCUUUUUUUUAUUUUAUUUUUUUAUGCAUUUUCUACCUUUUUAUCCUUUUUCUUUUAGCGUGUCCAAUUUUUACCCAAUUGCGAAAUGCUUCCUCUCUACUGGUGCUGACCUCCACCCCUGAUUAAGGAGAGCAAACUGACACACGUCCCCUCCGACACAUGCCAUCAACCAGCCAGCAGAGGUCGUAAUUGCAUCAGUUAUGAGGUCACUAUACGGCUCCCUAACACUGUAUGAACAACAGCCAAAUGUUGUUCAUAUAGCCGCCCAGCCGGAUGGCUGAGCUGAGAUUCGAUAUGAUGUAUUCGAAAUCCCCGCUGCGCCACCUGAACGGCAAUUUUAUUCAUAUUUUAAGCAAUCUGUUUAAUAAUCAUCAAAUAAAAACGUAAUAAAUCCAAAUGAAUUAGUUGCAUGUGUGCUUUAAAAAUGGCUUGAGUGUGUUAUAUAACCUAGCACUGGAUUUAAUAUGGACGUAGUAUGUACUGUAGUAUGACACAUGAUCCCAUUCCAAAACCAUGGGCAUUAAUAUAUAGUGUGUCUGUGGGAAUUUGUGCCCAUUCCUUCAAAAAAGCAUUUGCAAGGUCUGACAUUUAACAACGUUCUAAAUUCCCAUCCCUGAACUGUUACCACACAGUUGGAAGGAUUUCUUUUAUUUUGAAUUAUAUAAAACAAACUCCAGUGUUGUUUAUUGUUUUUGCAUUCGUAAACCAGUGCUCUUGGUUGUGUAGCUAACAGGCAGAUGUCUUUAAUUAAUAAGCUAAGUGCAUAUUUAACAUGAAGCUCAGUUAUUUUUCUGCUGGCCUUUAUGGUCUCAGACAGCAGAGAUUCAGACGUUUUUUCACGCAUCAUCACUGGAGUGAAGAUUGCAAGUUGCUUAUUUUAUUUAAAGUGUUUCAUUUUGCUUUGAUUUUAUUUUAUUAUAGAUGGUGUGACUUUGUUUUUUUUUUUUUUAGCUCUGGCCUGAUUUGAAUUCUGAUAUGAAACUGUGCUCUGUAUAUUCAUAGAUAAUUCAGAUACCAAAGGGUGUCUCUUAUUUAACAGUUCAGAAUACUGGAUCAUCUCUGUUCACUGACUCAGGCACAUGCUCAGUAUAUUUUGAGUUUCCUUUUAUUGUUUGUUGCGUUUCUUCUUUUAAUGUGUAUGAGUUGUACAUAUUCUGAAUUUGGUUUUAAUUCCACUGUAGCAAUUUGGUGCUUUGUCCUUGAAUUUGACUUAUUUUAAACAUUUAGUUCCUUAUGUUAGCUUUUUGUGUGCUGUCUUCUUUAUUUACAUCUCAAUCGAAGUGGUAAAGCUUUUACGGUCAAGUAGCGACACCUUAUGAUUUUCCACUUUUCCUGUAAAAAUCACACUAAAAGAAAAAUCUACAAAAAAGACUGUUAAACUCGACUAAAUUCUAUCUUCUCAAUUUGUAAACUCAUGGAUAUUUUAAAACAAAUAAACCUAUUUUAAACUUA
This is a long non-coding RNA of Trichomycterus rosablanca, 3060 nucleotides long. RefSeq lists it as uncharacterized. The record is from RefSeq and is a predicted model, not a curated record. Lineage: Eukaryota; Metazoa; Chordata; Actinopteri; Siluriformes; Trichomycteridae. The transcript has 2 exons.